AUUGAACGCUGGCGGCAGGCCUAACACAUGCAAGUCGAGCGGUAGCACAGAGAGCUUGCUCUCGGGUGACGAGCGGCGGACGGGUGGGUAAUGUCUGGGAAACUGCCUGAUGGAGGGGGAUAACUACUGGAAACGGUAGCUAAUACCGCAUAACGUCGCAAGACCAAAGUGGGGGACCUUCGGGCCUCAUGCCAUCAGAUGUGCCCAGAUGGGAUUAGCUAGUAGGUGGGGUAACGGCUCACCUAGGCGACGAUCCCUAGCUGGUCUGAGAGGAUAGCCAGCCACACUGGAACUGGGACACGGUCCAGACUCCUACGGGGGGCAGCAGUGGGGAAUAUUGCACAAUGGGCGCAAGCCUGAUGCAGCCAUGCCGCGUGUGUGAAGAAGGCCUUCGGGUUGUAAAGCACUUUCAGCGGGGAGGAAGGCGGUGAGGUUAAUAACCUCACCGAUUGACGUUACCCGCAGAAGAAGCACCGGCUAACUCCGUGCCAGCCGCCGCUGUAA
This 504-nucleotide ribosomal RNA is filed under the name uncultured bacterium. RNAcentral describes it as "partial 16S ribosomal RNA". It matches the Rfam family "Bacterial small subunit ribosomal RNA", at positions 29 to 523 of the family's 1533-position model. The record is from RNAcentral.